RNAcentral lists this ribosomal RNA (440 nucleotides) under uncultured bacterium. Its description in RNAcentral is "partial 16S ribosomal RNA". It matches the Rfam family "Bacterial small subunit ribosomal RNA", at positions 338 to 795 of the family's 1533-position model. The record is from RNAcentral.
CCUACGGGAGGCAGCAGUGGGGAAUAUUGCACAAUGGGGGAAACCCUGAUGCAGCGACGCCGCGUGAAGGAAGAAGUAUCUCGGUAUGUAAACUUCUAUCAGCAGGGAAGAAAAUGCCGGUAACUGACUAAGAAGCCCCGGCUAACUACGUGCCAGCAGCCGCGGUAAUACGUAGGGGUCAAGCGUUAUGCGGAUUUACUGGGUGUAAAGGGAGCGGAGACGGAAGAGCAAGUCAGAUGUGAAAGGCUCGGGCUUAACCCCAGGACUGCAUUGGAAACUGGUAUUCGAGAGUGCCGGAGAGGGGAGCAGAAUUCCAAGUGUAGCGGUGAAAUGCGUAGAGAUUAGGAGGAACACCAGUGGCGAAGGCGGCUUACUGGACGGUAACUGACGUUGAGGCGCGAAAGCGUGGGGAGCAAACAGGAUUAGAUACCCGGGUAGUC